UCGAGCGUGAUAGCGCGUUCGAUCGAAGAACCCCGCCGGCAUCCGCCGGAGGAUCCCUAAAGCUUUCCCCCGCCCCCGGUGUCUGGGAAGGGUAUACCCCCCAUCCCCCCCCCCGGCAAGCCCCGACCCCCAAGAUUGGGAACAACCGCCAAAGGCUCGGCCGACAAUGACACGACGAAGGGGCUUGAACAUCUCGCCGUAGACGGUGAAAGCCCGGGGCAUGAAACGGUCUAGCCGGUCGAAUGCAGUAAAGCGCGCAAACCGUGCUUGAACCUUAUUAGACCCAUGGGGACCCACCCUCUCACCCACGAAUCCCCCCAUCGACCGAUAGCGCUCAAGUACCGUGAGGGAAUGGUGGACCGGCCCUACGCAAGGGAGCGACUUCGAGAACUGAACCUCGAUGCUGAUCGAUCAGUCGGGACUGGCCGGGGUGCCAAACCACCCGACCUUCAAAAGCACGGUGGGGACCCGACCCACGGCGUACCUUUUGCAUAAUGGGUCAGCGAGUCGUGGGGAAGCAGCGGCUUAAGCCGGUAGGUGUAGGUUCGACCACGGUGGCUGUGGUCCCGCCGGUCCCCGUCUAACCCGAACCCGAUUGAUCUAGCCAUCCGCAGGUUGAUGGGGGCGUACAGCCCAAUCGUCGGAAGACCGCACCCCGGCAUGUGGCAGAAUGCGGGGAUGACGGGUGGCUAGGGGUGAAAGGCCAACCAAGAUCGGAGAUAGCUGGUUUUCCGCGAAAUCUAUUUAUGUAGAGCGCCGAUGCUACGUUGGCCCGGGGUAGAGCACCGGCGGGGCACGGCUGGCCAUUCCCGAGCGCCACCGUGCCCGUGGCAACACCGAAUACGGGCCGCCUCGCGGAUCCGUCCGUGCAGACAGAGUCUGGGUGCGAAGAUCCGGGCUCGAAAGGGGAAUAGCCCAGAUCGUCCGCUAAGGUCCCGAAGCGAUCACUGCGUGGGGAUACACGAGAGUGAAGGGCGUGAUCCGGCGAUGACCCCCAGCGGUGGGCUUGGAAGCAGCCAUCCCGUAAGAGAAAGCGUACUGGCUCACUGGGAGAGCGGGUCCGACCGAGGAUGAUCGGGGCGGAAGUGAGGAUCACCGAAGCGACGGGACCAACCACGAUCGAGAGCAGAGCCGGCCGCCGUGCCGGCGCGCAUCGAGUAGUGUCCGUAGCGGAACGUUCUGUUCGCCUACCCCCGGAUGACCGGGCGGGUGGAUCGCACAGAAGUGAGAAUGCUGACAUGAGUAAUGAUAAAUGGAGAGUGAAACUCGCAUCGCCAGCAGUUGCCGGGUUUCCGCGUGCAAUGGAACUACGCGGGGUUACUCGGCCCCCGAGAGGCGCCGAUCGGGCCCACGAUGGGGACGCCAACGCCAAGGAGCCAAGCGAGAACGUCGUAUCGACUGCCGCGACCGGAGGGGGUUCGAUCGAUGGGCACGGUGGAGCGGGGAACCGCCCGUUCCCCCUUUCGGCACGGGAUCCGCGGGCAGAGCGGACACUUCGGAAAGGAAGGGGGCCAGUCAUGGUCGAGCAGCACCGGUCACCGCUCCCCGACGAUCGCUAUGCACGGCCGGUGAUCCACAACCCCUGGGCGGCUAUCGGAUCGUCUCCAAACCCAUCGUGGUCCCCGCCCCGGGUGUUGGGGAGCGGGCUCUCCACAUCCCCCCCUCUCACGUAAACCCGGUGUACCGCCCCGACGUAUUCGCCGUAACUGAACCCGACACUGGGUUACUGGUGAAGGACACUGAGGCGCGUGAGAACCAUGCUGAAGGAACUAGGCAAAAUGACCCCGUAACCUCGGGAGAAGGGGGUUCCACGGGAAUGGACCGGAGGGGGGCACGGAACCGGGGGUAGCGACUGUUUAUUAAAAACACAGGACUCUGCGAAGUGCGAACACGACGUAUAGAGUCUGAAACUUGCCCGGUGCCGGAAGGUGAAGAGGAGAGGUUACGCAGCCUCGAAUCGAAUUCCCGGUAAACGGCGGCAGUAACUCUAACUGUCCUAAGGUAGCGAAAUUCAUUGUCGCAUAAGUAGCGACCUGCACGAAUAGUGUAACGACUGCCCCGCUGUCUCCAGCAUGGGCCCAAUGAAAUUGACCUCUCCGUGAAGAUGCGGAUUGCCCACGGCUAGACGGUAAGACCCCGUGCACCUUAACUAUAGCUUCGCAGUGACAACCUUGAUCGAAUGUGUAGGAUAGGUGGGAGGUGGUGACACACAACGACCAAUCCUGAAAGACCACUCUUUCGUCUAAGGAUGCCUAACCGCCGCACCGAAAAAUCGGGGGGGGGCGGGACACUGCGAGGUGGGUAGUUUAUCUGGGGCGGAUGCCUUCGAAAGAGUAUCGAGGGUGUACAAAGGCGGGUACCCCACUGAUUUUAACGGUGGAUGAAGUAUAAUGGCAAAAACUCGCUUGACUGCAACAGAGACAUCUGGAGCAGGGGUCCCAAGUAAUUGGGGCCGGUCAUAGUGAUCCGG
RNAcentral lists this ribosomal RNA (2470 nucleotides) under Selaginella bryopteris. Its description in RNAcentral is "bacterial LSU rRNA". It matches the Rfam family "Bacterial large subunit ribosomal RNA", at positions 1 to 2423 of the family's 2925-position model. Lineage: Eukaryota; Viridiplantae; Streptophyta; Lycopodiopsida; Selaginellales; Selaginellaceae. The record is from RNAcentral.